UUGUUGCAGUUAAAAAGCUCGUAGUCGGAUUUCAGUAUUAGGCCCUUCUUCCAAUACGGUUGCUAGUGGUCUUUACUUCCUUAACAGAAUCUUUCAUUUUAUUAAUUUAAAGUGUUUGGGGCCUGUUUCUUUUACUUUGAGAAAAUUAGAGUGUUCAAAGCGGGUUUUCGCCUGGAUAUUACUCUUGGAAUAAUAAUAUAGGACUUUGGUUCUUUUUUGUUGGUGACUUAGAACCGAAGUAAUGAUUGAUAGGGACAGUUGGGGUCAUUCGUACUAUGAAGCGAGAGGUGAAAUUCAUGGACCUUUGUAUGACGAACUACUGCGAAAGCAUUUGACUAGGAUGUUCCCGUUGAUCAAGAACGAAAGUUGGGGGAUCGAAGACGAUCAGAUACCGUCGUAGUCUCAACUAUAAACUAUGCCAGCUAGGGAUUGGAGGAAGAUCAUUUUACGUCUCCUUCAGCACCUUAUGAGAAAUCAAAGCAUUUGGGUUCCGGGGGGAGUAUGGUCGCAAGGCUGAAACUUAAAGGAAUUGACGGGAGGGCACCACCAGGAGUGGAGCCUGCGGCUUAAU
RNAcentral lists this ribosomal RNA (571 nucleotides) under uncultured marine eukaryote. RNAcentral's name for it is "SSU rRNA". It matches the Rfam family "Eukaryotic small subunit ribosomal RNA", at positions 610 to 1194 of the family's 1831-position model. The record is from RNAcentral.